This 454-nucleotide ribosomal RNA is filed under the name uncultured organism. RNAcentral's name for it is "partial 16S ribosomal RNA". It matches the Rfam family "Bacterial small subunit ribosomal RNA", at positions 331 to 801 of the family's 1533-position model. The record is from RNAcentral.
GUACACUCCUGCGGGAGGCAGCAGUGGGGAAUAUUGGACAAUGGGCGCAAGCCUGAUCCAGCCAUGCCGCGUGAGUGAUGAAGGCCCUAGGGUUGUAAAGCUCUUUCACCGGUGAAGAUAAUGACGGUAACCGGAGAAGAAGCCCCGGCUAACUUCGUGCCAGCAGCCGCGGUAAUACGAAGGGGGCUAGCGUUUUUCGGAUUUACUGGGCGUAAAGCGCACGUAGGCGGACUAUUAAGUCAGGGGUGAAAUCCCGGGGCUCAACCCCGGAACUGCCUUUGAUACUGGUAGUCUUGAGGUCGAGAGAGGUGAGUGGAAUUCCGGGUGUAGAGGUGAAAUUCGUAGAUAUUCGGAGGAACACCAGUGGCGAAGGCGGCUCACUGGCUCGAUACUGACGCUGAGGUGCGAAAGCGUGGGGAGCAAACAGGAUUAGAAACCCUAGUAGUCCCAUGAU